UCAACGGGGAGGAAAAAAAACACUCUUCUUUAGUCUCUCUUGUGCAUUUAAAACGUGGGGGAGCCGGUGUCAGAGGGAGAUUUCCAGCAGACGUCCGGUGCUAGCCAGCUAGCAGCACUCAAAUCGCUCGCGAAUCAACAAGUUGAAUCCCACAUCAGCGGCUAGCCGAGCUGGCCAGCUAGCUAGGAACUAGCUAGCAGCAACCGCACGUCCCAUGUUUGUCAACAAGCGCUAAACGCCGAAAGGCUAAUAUUUCCUUAAUCCUGGGCCUGGGUGGGAGAGCAUUCACUUCCCGGGUCUACUUUAACAGUGAGCAGCGGCUGCCGGCGAGCUAACGGCGCGACGGUGCGACGUCCUGGCCGCUUAGCUCCCGGGGCUAGCUCCCAGAAAAAGUUGGGCAACGGCUGCACUGAAACGCGACUAGGUUCGGUUAGGUGGCUAGCACGCUAACCCGUGGGGUGGCUAAGCGGCGUUCGAGGAAGCCCCGACGGCCGUCGAGGUCGACAACAAGUGUUUGUCCAGCGUCGUUUUCGUGCGACGCAGCGUCGCCACUUCGCCUCCUGCUCGGUGGAAGAGCGGCUUCCCUUCAGGGCUCGAACCAGGUGCACAAACUUUCAGGCCAAACUUAUUCCCGGCGAGGUCUCGACCUUCCCAGCGGACGCGACACGAUUCUAAAUGUUCCCAGCGACGUAUCCAGGGAAUGGUAUCCGACGGCUAAAGCAGCGCGGUGUAAAAUGCCGCCACGGCAGCGUCAGGACGUUAAAAGAAACACCGGGGGAUGAAGAGGGUACGAGGGGAUUGUUAGUAGCGACUGGGAGAGCGUCCAGCUGGAAGGAUGUCCUCGUGAGUCAAGGGGGAAACAGUCACGUGUCAGAAGGGAGGAGGGAGUACAGUCACAGUGGGGGAACGUGCUCAAGCGUCGCCAUCUGCAGGAUGCCUGAAUACAAUGCAUCUGUCCGGCUGUCCGUCUGUCCCGGCUCAGAGGAACUCAUUUUUGGCUGCCGUGCUCCUGUUUUGCUUUGAAAGGAAAAAUGACACACCAAGUAGGAGUUUGAACUGCAGACUGUUAAUUGCAGCGGAUUCGAUGGUAUUUUAGGUCUCAUUGGAUGAACAUUAAAAAACACACUGGCCAUUUUAUCUCCAUGGUCUCAUUUCAUGCUGCCAAAUGUUUCUGGCCAGACUGAGCCUGUAAUAACAGCUAUUUCUAAUAUGGGCGCCAAUGAUAUCUCUGUAAAGUCUGGUAAACGCCACACUGAUAUGUCACAGUAUACAGUUCUACAAGUGUUCACAUCUGUCUUACUGUUGGCAGUAAGAAAAUAUUGAUUUCUGUGGCUUUCGUCUAAAAGACCGGCAGAAUGUUCUUUCUAAAUGCAGGGGAACAUGAAUGACCCAGUUCCUACCACUGAUUCCACAUGAACAGUGCUGAACCUGAUGCGGGGGGCAUCAAAGGUAGUCCAGGAAAUACACAUUAAAAUAACAACUGACUGAUCCAUGGGUGCAAGUGUACUUGAAAUUUCAAACCAAGGUCAAAAACAAGUUUGUAUAAACUGGGCUACAGUCACACAACGUGCUAUGUAAUGCACUUUAAUUGAAGGGUUGAACUGAUUAAUUUAACCAUGUUGCUGGUUAAUUCUUAGUUUGUUAAUUUUGUUGCAUUUGUUAUGGUUUGUAGUUUAAAUAAUUAGACAUGAGUCCACAAGUUGCAAAAGCAAAGAAGGAAAUGGGUGUGUGUCAUUUACACAUUUGAGGAAGCUGAGCUUUGCUGCGUCAACAAGAGGAAAUGCCGACAGACGUACACCAUGUUGGUAAAAAAAGAAUACGCCUCUCUUUUAUAGGUCUCUUCCAUGAAUGUCUUUGGUUUUCCAGCUUUAGAGAAGUGAAGGAGGUCAGUAGGUCAUAGACACAAACUGCCCACAGCACAGUUCUUGUUACAUCAUCCCUGUACUGAGCUGUGGCAUUCUGUUUCUUCUCAAUGUGCAGAGAGGAAGGGUGGGUUCAGUGUCAGCAAAUGGUAAACUACCGUAGGUCAUUUUUACUUGCUGCUGUAAGACUUUACAACCUAAGCUGCUCCCAGUGAAUCACUGACAAUUGUAACUGUUUCUACAACUGUAACUAAUGCCAUCUUAUACUGUAGUCACCAUCCAAACUUCCAAAUGUUUGGGCAGUCUUUUUUUUUUAAUCCUGUGCAAUAUUCAGUCAAUCCAUGGUGGAAAUACCCAUCACCUCAGUAUGCAUGUGUGUAUAUAUAUGAUACAUCUUUAUUUUACUUUAAAUUGUAGAUAAUUUUGAUCCUGCUCUUGUUUUAUACUGCUGCUGCAACGUGGAAAUUUCCCCACUGUGGGACGAAUAAAGGACUAUCUUAUCUUAAACUGAAGCA
This 2377-nucleotide long non-coding RNA is filed under the name Betta splendens (Siamese fighting fish). RNAcentral's name for it is "lncRNA (ENSBSLG00000001114.1)". Lineage: Eukaryota; Metazoa; Chordata; Actinopteri; Anabantiformes; Osphronemidae. The record is from RNAcentral.